Long non-coding RNA from Nothobranchius furzeri (turquoise killifish), 449 nucleotides. RefSeq lists it as uncharacterized. The record is from RefSeq and is a predicted model, not a curated record. Lineage: Eukaryota; Metazoa; Chordata; Actinopteri; Cyprinodontiformes; Nothobranchiidae.
AGCUGCAGAGCAUCAGCUCAUCAGCCGGUCCGGUGUGUUUAAGCAGCUGAGAGACGCCAUCACUUCGCUGGAUGAUUACUCUAUCUGGGUCCUUCAUUUAACAGCCACUUGAGAAUUAAAAUCCUCCACUCCCAUCUCUGACUGACUGAACUUUGGAUUAUCUCUACACACUGCUCGUCUCGCAGCCCGUUCCUGACCAUCCACCUCCUGCUGCCCCACCAAGACCCACCUGGAUCUGUACUACCGCAAGAAUCGGCUCCCUUAACCUCCAACCCUGGAUUCCUACUCCCUGUAAGUCCCUCCAACCCAGACCAGACCACCGUCCCUCCUCACUCGAGCCAUUACGCUACCAAGACUAUACCCGCACCAGAUCCCUGUCGGAAGAACUCGGCGAAUUUUGCUGCUCCUUUAGUUUCUCCCUUAAAGUUUAAAACUUUCGCCCUUGUCUG